This 586-nucleotide ribosomal RNA is filed under the name uncultured Bacteroides sp. RNAcentral describes it as "bacterial SSU rRNA". It matches the Rfam family "Bacterial small subunit ribosomal RNA", at positions 118 to 702 of the family's 1533-position model. Lineage: Bacteria; Pseudomonadati; Bacteroidota; Bacteroidia; Bacteroidales; Bacteroidaceae. The record is from RNAcentral.
UAUCCAACCUCCCGCAUACUGGGGGAUAGCCUUCUGAAAGGAAGAUUAAUACCCGAUGGUAUCUCAAGAGCACAUGCAAUUAAGAUUAAAGAAUUUCGGUAUGCGAUGGGGAUGCGUUCCAUUAGGUAGUAGGCGGGGUAACGGCCCACCUAGCCAUCGAUGGAUAGGGGUUCUGAGAGGAAGGUCCCCCACAUUGGAACUGAGACACGGUCCAAACUCCUACGGGAGGCAGCAGUGAGGAAUAUUGGUCAAUGGGCGCGAGCCUGAACCAGCCAGGUAGCGUGAAGGAUGACUGCCCUAUGGGUUGUAAACUUCUUUUGUCCGGGAAUAAAACCGCCUACGUGUAGGCGCUUGUAUGUACCGGUACGAAUAAGCAUCGGCUAACUCCGUGCCAGCAGCCGCGGUAAUACGGAGGAUGCGAGCGUUAUCCGGAUUUAUUGGGUUUAAAGGGAGCGCAGACGGGUUUUUAAGUCAGCUGUGAAAGUUUGGGGUUCAACCUUAAAAUUGCAGUUGAUACUGGAGACCUUGAGUGCAGUUGAGGCAGGCGGAAUUCGUGGUGUAGCGGUGAAAUGCUUAGAUAUCACGA